CCUACGGGAGGCAGCAGUGGGGAAUAUUGCACAAUGGAGGGAACUCUGAUGCAGCGACGCCGCGUGAGUGAAGAAGGUCUUCGGAUCGUAAAACUCUGUCCUUGGUGACGAAAAAAAUGACGGUAGCCAAGGAGGAAGCCCCGGCUAACUACGUGCCAGCAGCCGCGGUAAAACGUAGGGGGCGAGCGUUGUCCGGAAUUACUGGGCGUAAAGGGCUCGUAGGCGGUAACUCAAGUCAGUUGUGAAAACCGACGGCUUAACCGGAGGAUUGCAGUUGAUACUGGGUUACUUGAGGCGAGGAGAGGAAGGUGGAAUUCCCGGUGUAGCGGUGAUAUGCGUAGAUAUCGGGAGGAACCCCAGUGGCGAAGGCGGCCUUCUGGUCUUGACCUGACGCUGAGACACGAAAGCGUGGGGAGCAAACAGGAUUAGAUACCCCUGUAGUCAC
RNAcentral lists this ribosomal RNA (445 nucleotides) under uncultured Syntrophaceticus sp. RNAcentral's name for it is "bacterial SSU rRNA". It matches the Rfam family "Bacterial small subunit ribosomal RNA", at positions 338 to 798 of the family's 1533-position model. The record is from RNAcentral. Lineage: Bacteria; Bacillati; Bacillota; Clostridia; Thermoanaerobacterales; Thermoanaerobacterales Family III. Incertae Sedis.